GCAUACGUCCUACGGGAGAAAGCAGGGGACCUUCGGGCCUUGCGCUAUCAGAUGAGCCUAGGUCGGAUUAGCUAGUUGGUGAGGUAAUGGCUCACCAAGGCGACGAGCCGUAACUGGUCUGAGAGGAUGAUCAGUCACACUGGAACUGAGACACGGUCCAGACUCCUACGGGAGGCAGCAGUGGGGAAUAUUGGACAAUGGGCGAAAGCCUGAUCCAUAAAGGGCGCGCGUGUGUGAAGAAGGUCUUCGGAUUGU
RNAcentral lists this ribosomal RNA (255 nucleotides) under uncultured bacterium. RNAcentral describes it as "partial 16S ribosomal RNA". It matches the Rfam family "Bacterial small subunit ribosomal RNA", at positions 171 to 426 of the family's 1533-position model. The record is from RNAcentral.